GCUCCGGUGGCUUAGUGCUUAAAGCGUCUGCUUUGGAUGCAGUAGGUCUCGGGUUCGAACCCGAAUUGAAUCA
Potamilus streckersoni is the source of this 73-nucleotide non-coding RNA. Lineage: Eukaryota; Metazoa; Mollusca; Bivalvia; Unionida; Unionidae. The record is from the annotation of a GenBank genome assembly.